RNAcentral lists this ribosomal RNA (305 nucleotides) under uncultured bacterium. RNAcentral describes it as "bacterial SSU rRNA". It matches the Rfam family "Bacterial small subunit ribosomal RNA", at positions 334 to 637 of the family's 1533-position model. The record is from RNAcentral.
UUUUCCUACGGGGCGCAGCAGUGAGGAAUAUUGGUCAAUGGUCGGGAGACUGAACCAGCCAAGCCGCGUGAGGGAUGAAGGUACAGAGUAUCGUAAACCUCUUUUGUCAGGGAACAAAGGCGGGGACGUGUCCCCGGAUGAGUGUACCUGAAGAAAAAGCAUCGGCUAACUCCGUGCCAGCAGCCGCGGUAACACGGAGGAUGCGAGCGUUAUCCGGAUUUAUUGGGUUUAAAGGGUGCGCAGGCGGUCUGGUAAGUCAGCGGGCAAAGCCCGGGGCUCAACCCCGGACCGCCGUUGAAAAUGGG